RNAcentral lists this long non-coding RNA (405 nucleotides) under Ananas comosus (pineapple). RNAcentral describes it as "long non-coding RNA (ACOM_LNC036664)". Lineage: Eukaryota; Viridiplantae; Streptophyta; Magnoliopsida; Poales; Bromeliaceae. The record is from RNAcentral.
ACAGCUACAGAACUCCAGGGAUACUACAUUAAUGGUGUGGAUCGUCGAUUCGAAAGCCUCAACAUCGAAAACAACUUAUAAGUACGAAGGGCUCUAUACUCAUAAGAGUAUAGUAGCCCAAUAUAUAUAUAUAUAGAAUUAUGCUACUAUACUAUCAAUAGUACCAAGCCCUUGGUACUAUUGAGUUUUCGAUCGUUGGAUGAAAAGAUGUGCGGUUAGGAUGAUAGUGGUCCCCGGUUAAAUUGAUAGUGGUCCCCUAGGGUUGAGUGGGUGGUUGGUUUAAUAGUAUAAUCUAACGGGUGGAAAUGAUCAAAGGGUAGAUCUAACGGUAAAAAACUAAAUAGUACCAAGGGCUUGGUACUAUCGAUAGUAUAGUAGCCGAACUCUAUAUAUAUAUAUAUAUAU